GUUUAUUUAAUUUAAAAAAAAAUAUUGGUCUUGUAAAUCAAAAAUCAAAAAUAUUUGAAUAAACU
RNAcentral lists this transfer RNA (65 nucleotides) under Dicyrtomina saundersi. Its description in RNAcentral is "tRNA-Thr". Lineage: Eukaryota; Metazoa; Arthropoda; Collembola; Symphypleona; Dicyrtomidae. The record is from RNAcentral.